GCUGUACAGGAACGGGGGUCCAAACAGAUGUCCAAACAGGUGUCUUUUUAUGACCCUCAUCAAUCAAACUUUUCGAGACAAAGCAUACUAUACUCCCUCUGUCAUCAUCUUAACCUCAAAAUGUAAAAACACAAUGUACAUACUAUUACAUACUCUAGCUGGAGUGCCCGUGAGCUUCAUUAGAGGGCACUCCAUUCCAGACUCUUGCCACUUCACCCUGAACUCUAUUUCCCAUAAUCCUUUGCCAGGACUCCUCAUCAAUUGCAAUCACCUGUCUCUCAUUACCUCAUCAGUCUCACGCUAUAAAGGUUGCACACAUCCACACACACUUUGCUGAUUAUUGUUUAGCCUCUACCCUGUUCCCUUGCUUUGCGUUGCCUCGCCUCGCCUCCUUGUUUUUGACCUUGGACUGUUUAUCUGGUUUUUGAUUGUUUUGCUGCCUGCCCUUACCUUUGCCUGUUUCGGAUUCCUCUUUGUCUUUGCCAGGGACAUUAUUGUUUGCUGGUACUGGAAUCUGCCUGUUUGACCACUCUCUAUAAUAAAGCCUGCAUUUGGAUCCUCAACUCUAUUGUCACGAUCCCUCCAUCGUAACAGAAUAAUCAGCCGAACAAGGAUCCAGCGGCUUUCCUGAACGACACUGGGCAGGUGUUGCGGAGGUGGAACGCGACACUGCACUCACUCAUGGUAUGGCCGCCAGCCCAGCGCCUCUGCACAAGAUGGCCGCCAGCCCAGCGCCUCUGCACAAGAUGGCCACCAAUGCGGCGUUGCUGCACGAAAUGGCAGCCACCGUUGAGCUGCAAGGUCAAGUCACUACAGAGCUUCAUCAUACCACAACUGAUCUGCCUGAGCCUCGUCACGUCUCAGCUGAUCAUCCAGUGCCUUGCCUCAUCCUGUCUGUUGCACCCAGAUAUUUAAGGUCACCGUAGCCACCAGAUCCAGUCUGUAUCCAGAUCACAUGGUGGAUCAGCACCUAGACAAACUCUUGACAGCCCUGGAUGUCAGCGGAGACCAGGACAACUAUGAGCCCCAGAGACAGAUCCUCUUCACCAAGACAGCCAUCGGGACAAGACCACAGGAACCAGACCAGUCCUCUGCACAAUCUGAUCUGUGUUGAAGCCUGCAAUUAAACUGCUGGGUUCGUCUGUUCAGAGAAGAACGAUGGAGUUUUGGUUCCUUCGACACACAAUUUUUCUGUUUAAUACUGUAAAGCUGUAGUGUAAAUACAGUGACUGGACUUGACUCCAGUUGAAAUGUAACACCUGGUUCAUUUAUUUUUUUCUGCCUUCUGCCUCAUUUUAAAGAUGUAAUUGUGAACAGUAUUAAUAUUUUUUUAAAUAUUUGUUUGCAAACAUUUUUUUAAAGUGUAUUAGUCUUUUUUUAAGUUAAUUAAACAAAUGUUUAAAAUAAAAUUUUUCAGUUGUAUUGCAAAUGUAAUGUUUGACAACUGGAGCACUUUUUAAAGGCUAGUUGACCAGAAAAUUGAAAGUUGCUGUUAUUUUAUUGAUCCUCAGGCCAUCCCAGAUGUCAGUGACUUUUUUUCUUCAGUAGAACAGUAAAGAUUUUUAUCUGAAACAGUGAUCCUUGGUGAUUCAUACAGUGCAUGUCUGUGGCUGCCGGUUUUUGAUGGUUUAGCUUCAUAAGGCCUCACUGUGUCCUCAGAAGUCUUUGGUAAUUUGGUCUUGUCUGUAUAUGUUUGUUUGACUCUCAAAAGCCGGCAGCCGGAGACGUGCAGUUAAUGAAUUGCAAUGUUUUCAAAGACAAUGUUUUCACCUAAAAAUUUCCUUUACUGUUCAAUUGAAGAAAAAUGUUAACUACGUCUUGGAUGGCUUGAGGCUGAGUCAAUUAACAGCAAUUUUUAAUUUUGGGGUGAACUAUCCC
Long non-coding RNA from Cyprinus carpio carpio, 1878 nucleotides. Lineage: Eukaryota; Metazoa; Chordata; Actinopteri; Cypriniformes; Cyprinidae. The record is from Ensembl.